This 1143-nucleotide ribosomal RNA is filed under the name uncultured organism. RNAcentral's name for it is "SSU rRNA". It matches the Rfam family "Bacterial small subunit ribosomal RNA", at positions 31 to 1168 of the family's 1533-position model. The record is from RNAcentral.
GAACGCUAGCUACAGGCUUAACACAUGCAAGUCGAGGGGUAGCAUUUCAGUUUGCUUGCAAACUGGAGAUGGCGACCGGCGCACGGGUGAGUAACACGUAUCCAACCUGCCGAUAACUCGGGGAUAGCCUUUCGAAAGAAAGAUUAAUACCCGAUGGUAUAAUUAGACCGCAUGGUCUUAUUAUUAAAGAAUUUCGGUUAUCGAUGGGGAUGCGUUCCAUUAGGCAGUUGGUGAGGUAACGGCUCACCAAACCUUCGAUGGAUAGGGGUUCUGAGAGGAAGGUCCCCCACAUUGGAACUGAAACACGGUCCAAACUCCUACGGGAGGCAGCAGUGAGGAAUAUUGGUCAAUGGACGGGAGUCUGAACCAGCCAAGUAGCGUGAAGGAUGACUGCCCUAUGGGUUGUAAACUUCUUUUAUAUGGGAAUAAAGUUUUCCACGUGUGGAAUUUUGUAUGUACCAUAUGAAUAAGGAUCGGCUAACUCCGUGCCAGCAGCCGCGGUAAUACGGAGGAUCCGAGCGUUAUCCGGAUUUAUUGGGUUUAAAGGGAGCGUAGGUGGACAGUUAAGUCAGUUGUGAAAGUUUGCGGCUCAACCGUAAAAUUGCAGUUGAUACUGGCUGUCUUGAGUACAGUAGAGGUGGGCGGAAUUCGUGGUGUAGCGGUGAAAUGCUUAGAUAUCACGAAGAACUCCGAUUGCGAAGGCAGCUCACUGGACUGCAACUGACACUGAUGCUCGAAAGUGUGGGUAUCAAACAGGAUUAGAUACCCUGGUAGUCCACACAGUAAACGAUGAAUACUCGCUGUUUGCGAUAUACAGUAAGCGGCCAAGCGAAAGCAUUAAGUAUUCCACCUGGGGAGUACGCCGGCAACGGUGAAACUCAAAGGAAUUGACGGGGGCCCGCACAAGCGGAGGAACAUGUGGUUUAAUUCGAUGAUACGCGAGGAACCUUACCCGGGCUUAAAUUGCAUUUGAAUAAUCUGGAAUCAGGUUAGCCGCAAGGCAAAUGUGAAGGUGUUGCAUGGUUGUCGUCAGAUCGUGCCGUGAGGUGUCGGGUUAAGUGCCAUAACGAGCGCAACCGUUAUCUUUAGUUAAUAACCGGUCAUGAUGAGGACUCUAGAGAGACUGCCGUAGUAAGAUGUGAG